GAAAAUAGAAAGAUCUAGAAACAGCCUGUUUUUUGCAAUAUGAUUCAGUGUACAUCUCAGAUGCAAUUAAAGCAAAAAUUGGCACAGAUCUCCUGGGCUUUCUAUUGCACACCUCCUGAGCAGCCACGUCCAGAGUAUUCUCACUCCUGUUCUAAAUAUUCUCUUUCUCAUAGCUAGAUGGAAAUUGCUGCUGCUUUCAAUGACGUCUUUCCUUCUGGAUAAAACUCACCCUUUUCUACCCCACUCUGAAAGGAGCAGUGAAAAGACUGUCCUGGGGAGGGGACACGAGUGUGAUGGUCCCAGCACCCAGGACUUGUCCUUGCGAAGGAGCGUGUGUUUCUCCCGGAUCCUUCCCAAGCAGGUAUUUUCUGCUAACCCUUAGCAAGAUUGAGAUAAAGUGAAGGCACCUGAAGUGGUUUUGCUCUUUGAUAAGUGUGUAAUUAAAACCACAGCCUCCUCUGUUCACUCACGGAAGCUGCCGAGAUGGUGGCUGCUGAGAUCGUGACUCCUGAGCGCGGCUCUGAGCAUGAAACCAGCUCCGAGGCAGUGUGGGAUGCAGCCGGGCUGCCAAACUCCACAGCACGAAGCAUUAAAGGUCAGCUAUGAGUCUGUAUUUUUGGCUGGCAGCCGGGGGUGUUUGCUGCACUGUCACGGCACAGCCGCCCCGUGACGCUGACGGGGGACAGGGUGCUCUUUGGCCAACACAUUAACAAUGACAGUCACAUGCCCACUCCAUUGAGCCAUGGAUGCUAUAGGUGGAAAAGACCUUUUUAAUCUCCCUGGAACGAGCCCAAUUAAGUUCAGUUUUCUAUUAGAUCAAGGAGAUGGCUGCCAGCACAAGUGUGGAAAGCAAUUAACUCCUUAAAAGUUCAAACACACUUGACAGACAAAGGCAGCGUUAAGCCAAUGCUAAGGAUGCACAGUCCAGUGCUCCGAGCCCAAACCACCAAACACCCCGGGGGCACAAACAGCCCUCGCCUCCUCCCUGCCCCUGCCAGUCCCGUACAGACCAUAAGUACUUCAUAGUCCCUCGACUGAUAACAUAGAUCAGGUGUGAGACUGCCCACUGUGCUCCUUAAUUGCCAGGCUGUGUCUCUCUAGGAAAUUUCUAGGAAAAGAUUUGGCAAAAGUCUCCCACUUUUGGGAAGGUGUGGGCAAAGCCUGCGAGCAGCAGCCCGGGGCAGGGACGCUGUGGAAAACACACAUUUAGUCCCUUAUGCCUCAACGCCAGGAGCUUGGGCAGCACCCAAGGGCAGUGAAGCCAUGGAAUUCUGAGCAGAAAUCCUACGUUUGGUGACACCGGCCUCUGGAAGACACUUCCCAAAACCUGGCUGUUACAAGUGCGCUGGGUAUAGUCAACAUGGACCUGCCGAGCAAGGAAG
Molecule: long non-coding RNA, 1382 nt
Filed under: Calidris pygmaea (Spoon-billed sandpiper)
Lineage: Eukaryota; Metazoa; Chordata; Aves; Charadriiformes; Scolopacidae
Description: lncRNA (ENSCPGG00000001278.1)
Source: RNAcentral